This 856-nucleotide long non-coding RNA is filed under the name Brassica napus (rape). Its description in RNAcentral is "long non-coding RNA (BNAP_LNC005988)". The record is from RNAcentral. Lineage: Eukaryota; Viridiplantae; Streptophyta; Magnoliopsida; Brassicales; Brassicaceae.
UUUUUUUUAAGAUCCAAGUUUCUGAGCGAUUUUGUUCAGUUCGACGCGGUUAAUGGCCGAUCAACGUUGACUCGCCGAUUAAACGCCCGAGUUGUCCGCGUUUUAGAACAUGGGUAAGGACCAAAAUUCUAAUCUUUCUGAUGACAUUUGAUUUUAUUCAGAUUUAAAAUUCGGUUAGGCAAAACUAUCGUCGGCUGCUGUUACAACCAUUGUGCAGAACAAUUUUUCUAAAAAUAAAUUUAACAUUCAUUCAAAAAAAAUUAUUAUAAAAAAAUUGGCAACUGAACUUUGGUUCAUGUGUAUACUAAUUGUGUUAGUGCAGUGAAGACUGAGUUUUAGAAGCUGGAGAAAAACAAUUCCUCAAGGUGUCCAUGUACCAGUCGUAAAGUACUACAUGAAGUCAUACAAGAAGUGCUACGUAAAGUGAAGCUGUGUAGCUGACUUGAAGCCGACGUACAGCUAAAUUACAAGAUACUUGGAUGCUAAGCAAGCUAUGAUUUACCUUGGGGAAGGGUAAAUCAUCAAGGGAAGAUUUCCAAAAGGCUUUGAAGAAGUUUUAGAAAUAUUUCAUAAAGGAAGAUUUGUGAAUAUCUCUUCGUUGAGAAGUUGGCAAGGAUAAGCAACACAAUCUACAUGUAUAAGUAGACAGAGACGUGCCUUGGGAUAGGUACCACCUUAAGAGAAGGCCGUAAGCAUAAGGGCUUUGGUGUUGAAUUAGAGUAGACACAAAGCAUAAGGGCUAGGGGUCAUGAGGAGGCCAGAGGAGUUCUUGGGUUAGUUUGAUCUAGGAAUGUGUUAGGCUAGUGUCUCUGUCUUGUAUGUAACAUUUUAGUCAAUUCGGAAGAGAGUUAUUAAG